UGGACCAUUGAUGAGAGGAUGUCAUGAGCCAAGGAUACGAUUUAUCAAAUUCUGUAUACAAGAGGUACAAU
RNAcentral lists this small nucleolar RNA (71 nucleotides) under Pteropus vampyrus (large flying fox). RNAcentral describes it as "Small nucleolar RNA SNORD112 (ENSPVAG00000028242.1)". Lineage: Eukaryota; Metazoa; Chordata; Mammalia; Chiroptera; Pteropodidae. The record is from RNAcentral.